GGAUGUGAGGGCAAUCUGGCUGCGACAUCUGUCACCCCGUUGAUCGCCAGGGUUGAUUCGGCUGAUCUGGCUGGCUAGGCAGGUGUCCCCUUCCUCCCUCACCGCUCCAUGUGCAUCCCUCCCGAAGCGGCGCGCUCGGUCGAAGAGGAUGACCUUCCCCGAAUAGAGGAGGACCAGUCUUCGGUCAAGGGUAUACGAGUAGCUGCGCUCCCCUGCUAGAACCUCCAAACAAGCUCUCAAGAAAUAAAGAGGGCAAUACAAGACAUGAUGAAAUGAAAAGACAUCCCAUGUUCUUGGAUAGGAGGAAUCAAUAUUGUG
This 318-nucleotide small nuclear RNA is filed under the name Jaculus jaculus (lesser Egyptian jerboa). RNAcentral's name for it is "7SK RNA (ENSJJAG00000003938.1)". It matches the Rfam family "7SK RNA". From Rfam's summary of the family: 7SK was discovered as an abundant small nuclear RNA in the mid-70s but a possible function has only recently been suggested. Lineage: Eukaryota; Metazoa; Chordata; Mammalia; Rodentia; Dipodidae. The record is from Rfam by way of RNAcentral.